Coffea eugenioides is the source of this 1768-nucleotide RNA transcript. It is a transcript of the gene named protein COFACTOR ASSEMBLY OF COMPLEX C SUBUNIT B CCB2, chloroplastic, with no coding region annotated. The transcript has 8 exons. Lineage: Eukaryota; Viridiplantae; Streptophyta; Magnoliopsida; Gentianales; Rubiaceae. The record is from RefSeq and is a predicted model, not a curated record.
CAAAUUUGUUCUAAUAGCAUCAAAAGUGGUCUGAGGAUGAGCGGCACUGCACUCUCACCAUUUCCGUUAAUUCCGUUAAGCUUCCCGCCAGAUAUUGGCAACAAAUCUUAUCCGUUAACCAAAUUUCCCACCAGAAAACUUAAAUCUUUGGCUAAAAUUUCUUGCAGCCGUUCUGAUAAUUCUUCUCAUUCCACAUCCCAGCAGCAACAGCUCAACCUCUCUGUCCUUCGUUUCACUUUUGGGAUACCUGGAUUGGAUGAAUCAUACUUGCCCAGAUGGAUUGGGUAUGCAUUCGGAUCACUGUUGCUGUUGAACCACUUUGGGGGGUCGGAUUUUUCCGCCAUUACUCCAGCUCAGUUGAGAACAGAGGUUUUGGGGCUUUCUUUGGCUGCAUUUUCUAUUGUCCUUCCCUAUCUGGGGAAAUUUCUCAAGGGAGCUACUCCAAACAAUGAAAAAAGUAUCCCUGAAGGUGCAGAGCCAAUUUUUCUCAUGUCACAAAACAUUCCAGACACUUUGAAGGGGGAUUUGGCUUGGGGAACAUAUGUUCUAUUGCGUAAUACCAACACUAUAUCAGUGCUCAUUUUUAUUCAAGAUGCACUUUGUGUGCGUGGUUAUUGGAACACCCCUAAAGAUAUACCGAAGGAUCAAGUGCAUGACUGGUUUGAGAAAGAGAUUAACAAAACUGGCCUUUUUGAUCUGAGGGAGACAUUGUAUUUUCCGCAAGCUGAAGAACUAUGGGAGAUCCUCCCCAGAGGUACUUGUUCUUUCCUGAUACAACCAGUGCUGCAUACUCAGAACUCAAGUUCUGAUAAAACAGAGAUGAGCGAUGGAUUUGUUUUACUGGCCUCUAGCAGCACUUAUGCAUAUAGCAGUAAAGAUAGAGCCUGGAUAAGAGCAGUUGCGAACAAAUUCAGAGCCAUACAACAAAGAUCUAGGGAUUGGCUACCUCAUUCUAACCAGCUUUACUCGGGUAUUGCAAAGAAGCAGAAAAGGUCCUGCCUCGGGGGUUUUGUUUCUAUUCAAAUGAACUAUGUACCCUAAGAAUCACAAUUCUUAUCCCUGGAUGAAGCCAAUAAGCCACUGAUAUUAAAUUAGCCUUUGCUCAAUGCCCGUGAAUGUUUGAUGCAACAGCCUAGAGAUAUGGCUAAGAGAUUGUGCAGGGAAAUUGAAUUUUGUACCUUGGUGUAAAAAGAACUGCUGCUGCCGCCGCUGCUUCUAGCUGAUAUUGGCUCUGGCAUAUACCACCUAUGCCGAUUAUGUUCAAGAUCAAGCACGAAGGCACUUAUUUAGCCACCAAGCUUCUCCUACUUUUCCAUCCUUUUUCUUCCUUCAGUCUUUCGGGCCGGUCCAGGUGGUGUGAAGAGUUAAAAAUCUUGACCUCCUGCAUUGCAUUCAUGUUCAUUGUUAGAUUAGUGAAGGAAGGGUUGGUCAUAAAGUUGGAGAGUUUGCUUUUACACACAGGACCUUCGAGAAUAAUAAACAUUGGAAUGGGGAGGAAAUCAUAUUGAUUGCAGCUUUCUCUGGUGGAGAAGUUGCCAUGCUUCUCCUUCAGAUCUAGAGUUACCUUUGAAGGGCUUUUGGUUGGAUUUGGAGUAGAACAUAUUCUAGUCUAGGAAGCUAGUUUUUCAUUCUUCAAGAAUCCCAUCCAGAAACAACAAAUCUUGACCAUGUUUUACGUUAGCUUCAAUUGUUGUAGUCUGUUAUAUAUAUAUGCCAUCCUACGCCGAGGCAGUAUGAUACGUAAACUUGCCAGACUUGCUCGGAAUGA